RNAcentral lists this microRNA precursor (89 nucleotides) under Canis lupus familiaris (dog). Its description in RNAcentral is "mir-8799 microRNA precursor family". It matches the Rfam family "mir-8799 microRNA precursor family". Lineage: Eukaryota; Metazoa; Chordata; Mammalia; Carnivora; Canidae. The record is from Rfam by way of RNAcentral.
CGGGGGAGGCCGGAUCCUGGGCUGUGUCCCGGCGCCCUGUGCUCCGGGGUCUGCGAUGUUGGAUUCGCGCUCCCGCCCCGCAGCCCCCU